Molecule: ribosomal RNA, 468 nt
Filed under: uncultured bacterium
Lineage: Bacteria
Description: partial 16S ribosomal RNA
Rfam family: Bacterial small subunit ribosomal RNA
Source: RNAcentral
GACGAACGCUGGCGGCGUGCUUAACACAUGCAAGUCGAACGGAAAGGCCCUGCUUUUGUGGGGUGCUCGAGUGGCGAAAGGGUGAGUAACACGUGAGUAACCUGCCCUUGACUUUGGGAUAACUUCAGGAAACUGGGGCUAAUACCGGAUAGGAGCUCCUGCUGCAUGGUGGGGGUUGGAAAGUUUCGGCGGUUGGGGAUGGACUCGCGGCUUAUCAGCUUGUUGGUGGGGUAGUGGCUUACCAAGGCAUUGACGGGUAGCCGGCCUGAGAGGGUGACCGGCCACAUUGGGACUGAGAUACGGCCCAGACUCCUACGGGAGGCAGCAGUGGGGAAUAGUGCACAAUGGGCGGAAGCCUGAUGCAGCAACGCCGCGUGCGGGAUGACGGCCUUCGGGUUGCAAACCGCUUUCGCCUGUGACGAAGCGUGAGUGACGGUAAUGGGUAAAGAAGCACCGGCUAACUACGUG